RNAcentral lists this ribosomal RNA (460 nucleotides) under uncultured bacterium. RNAcentral's name for it is "partial 16S ribosomal RNA". It matches the Rfam family "Bacterial small subunit ribosomal RNA", at positions 338 to 795 of the family's 1533-position model. The record is from RNAcentral.
CCUACGGGGGGCAGCAGUGAGGAAUAUUGGUCAAUGGGCGCGAGCCUGAACCAGCCAAGUCGCGUGAGGGAUGACUGCCCUACGGGUUGUAAACUUCUUUUGUCAGGGAAUAAAGUGAGGCACGUGUGCCUUUUUGUGUGUACUUUAUGAAUAAGGAUCGGCUAACUCCGUGCCAGCAGCCGCGGUAAUACGGAGGAUCCGAGCGUUAUCCGGAUUUAUUGGGUUUAAAGGGAGCGUAGAUGGGUUGUUAAGUCAGUUGUGAAAGUUUGGGGCUCAACCGUAAAAUUGCAAUUGAUACUGGCUGUCUUGAGUACAGUUGAGGUAGGCGGAAUUCGUGGUGUAGCGGUGAAAUGCUUAGAUAUCACGAAGAACUCCGAUUGCGAAGGCAGCUUACCAAACCGCCACUGACACUGAUGCUCGAAAGCGUGGGUAUCAAACAGGAUUAGAUACCCUUGUAGUC